GAAAUGCGAUACUUGGUGUGAAUUGCAGAAUCCCGUGAACCAUCGAGUCUUUGAACGCAAGUUGCGCCCGAAGCCAACUUGGUUGAGGGCACGCCUGCCUGGGCGUCUCACGUUGCGUCUCACGUUGCGUCCGGUCCGUCGCGGGGGGCCUGUCGUGACCCUAUCGCGCCGCCGCCAAGGCGCUCCGAUCGCGACCCCAGGUCAGGCGGGAUUACCCGCUGAGUUUAA
RNAcentral lists this unclassified non-coding RNA (228 nucleotides) under uncultured fungus. RNAcentral describes it as "sequence contains ITS1". The stretch from base 1 to 108 matches the Rfam family "5.8S ribosomal RNA", at positions 50 to 154 of the family's 154-position model. The record is from RNAcentral. Lineage: Eukaryota; Fungi.